Sceloporus undulatus (fence lizard) is the source of this 556-nucleotide long non-coding RNA. RefSeq lists it as uncharacterized. The record is from RefSeq and is a predicted model, not a curated record. The transcript has 3 exons. NCBI's taxonomy places the organism in Eukaryota, Metazoa, Chordata, Lepidosauria, Squamata, Phrynosomatidae.
AUGGCCAUCUAUCAGGGUGUGUGCAUGACCCAUGUUGACUUUUUGUGAUGAUUUAAGUGAAUGUAGAAUAUAAAAUUACAUGUGCUAAGGAUAAUUUUUCUUGUUUUUUUUUUCCAAUUCAAAUCUGGCAAAUAGGUGUUCCCUCUCCACACAAGUAUUGGCAAUAUAGAAUCUUCUGUGUAGUCUGGAAUCAAGUGAAAGCAACUAUAGUAGUAAUUGCAAAGCAUGCUGGAGGGAUGAAGAGAUGUUAUAUAUGGGCUUCACAAAUCCAGUUCCUUGGAAAAACUGUGCCCUGCCUCCGAACCUGGGUUAGGUUGGAAUCAGGAGUCAGAUGGAGAACAGGACAGAUUGCUCUAUUAGGAAAGAAGGAAGAAAGUCGAAACAAAGAUUACACUGCAAAAAAUAUGGAUUACAUCUGCCAGUGUUUUGAACCAUUUCAGCUGUGUACACAUCCCUGACUCACUGGUUGCUGAGCAGUGGCUGUGUGCUGCUGGGCGACAGUGUGAAACAGGGAAAUUAAUUAUAUGGCCAUUACAUAAAAUAAUAUCCCACCCAC